AAAGGUAAAUCUUAUUAGUGUCCCAGCACGCUAACCCUACUGCCCAACUGCUACUGUUGCAUGCUUUCCUGCCUGGCUUGUGCUUCCCAGCACUGAGGCCUGCACCUGCAUCCCAUGGCUUUUCCUCUUCAGUGUUUUUCUUUGGUUGGUUUGGGCUUUUGUUUUUGUUAUUGUUGUUACUGUAGUUUAGUUUAGUUUUCUUUCUUUGUGUUUGUAAAGUUCCCUUUUUAUUGACAGAUCCUAUUCCGGACAGCUUUGCUGUCCUGCCCACAGCACCCUAGGAAGCACCCAGAAGGAAGUAACACUUACGAAUGGCAGCCAUCACACAGAACUGUUUGUCAGAAGGACACUCCGUUGGGCCCCUUCUCUGCUGGGAGCUGGACACCAGACGACAGCCCCACUCUGGCUUUCUUAUGCCUCCUGGGCCGAUGUGGCUCAGAAGUCUGUGUUCA
This 452-nucleotide long non-coding RNA is filed under the name Cricetulus griseus (Chinese hamster). RNAcentral describes it as "lncRNA (ENSCGRG00000025478.1)". The record is from RNAcentral. Lineage: Eukaryota; Metazoa; Chordata; Mammalia; Rodentia; Cricetidae.